GAACUACAAGGGAGGAUCCUGCACGCGCGCACACUGAGCGGAUCAACGUGCGUCUACCCUUCGCCGAGAGGCGUGGGUAACCCGCUGAACCCCACUCGUGAUAGGGAUUGGGGAUUGCAAUUAUUUCCCAUGAACGUGGAAUUCCCAGUAAGCACGGGUCAUAAGCUCACGUUGAUUAAGUCCCUGC
RNAcentral lists this non-coding RNA (187 nucleotides) under Salmo salar (Atlantic salmon). RNAcentral describes it as "Eukaryotic small subunit ribosomal RNA". It matches the Rfam family "Eukaryotic small subunit ribosomal RNA", at positions 1469 to 1656 of the family's 1831-position model. The record is from Rfam by way of RNAcentral. Lineage: Eukaryota; Metazoa; Chordata; Actinopteri; Salmoniformes; Salmonidae.